AUUGAACGCUGGCGGCAGGCCUAACACAUGCAAGUCGAGCGGAUGAAGGGAGCUUGCUCCUGGAUUCAGCGGCGGACGGGUGAGUAAUGCCUAGGAAUCUGCCUGGUAGUGGGGGAUAACGUCCGGAAACGGGCGCUAAUACCGCAUACGUCCUGAGUGAGAAAGUGGGGGAUCUUCGGACCUCACGCUAUCAGAUGAGCCUAGGUCGGAUUAGCUAGUUGGUGGGGUAAAGGCCUACCAAGGCGACGAUCCGUAACUGGUCUGAGAGGAUGAUCAGUUACACUGGAACUGAGACACGGUCCAGACUCCUACGGGAGGCAGCAGUGGGGAAUAUUGGACAAUGGGCGAAAGCCUGAUCCAGCCAUGCCGCGUGUGUGAAGAAGGUCUUCGGAUUGUAAAGCACUUUAAGUUGGGAGGAAGGGCAGUAAGUUAAUACCUUGCUGUUUUGACGUUACCAACAGAAUAAGCACCGGCUAACUUCGUG
This 484-nucleotide ribosomal RNA is filed under the name uncultured bacterium. RNAcentral describes it as "partial 16S ribosomal RNA". It matches the Rfam family "Bacterial small subunit ribosomal RNA", at positions 30 to 507 of the family's 1533-position model. The record is from RNAcentral.